GGCCUCGUAGCUCAGUUGGCUAGAGCGUUGGCUGUACUAAAGCCUUCCCCUUGCUGGCAUGGGAUCAAAUCCCACCGAGGCCG
This 83-nucleotide transfer RNA is filed under the name Schistocephalus solidus. It matches the Rfam family "tRNA". From Rfam's summary of the family: Transfer RNA (tRNA) molecules are approximately 80 nucleotides in length. Their secondary structure includes four short double-helical elements and three loops (D, anti-codon, and T loops). The record is from Rfam by way of RNAcentral. Lineage: Eukaryota; Metazoa; Platyhelminthes; Cestoda; Diphyllobothriidea; Diphyllobothriidae.